GCUCACCAAGGCGACGACGGGUAGCUGGUCUGAGAGGAUGAUCAGCCACAUUGGGACUGAGAUACGGCCCAGACUCCUACGGGAGGCAGCAGUGGGGAAUAUUGCGCAAUGGCCGCAAGGCUGACGCAGCGACGCCGCGUGUGGGAUGAAGGCCUUCGGGUCGUAAACCACUGUCAGGGGGGACGAAUACUCGGCCUCGAAUAGGGGACCGAGGGUGACGGUACCCCCAGAGGAAGCACCGGCUAACUCCGUGCCAGCAGCCGCGGUAAUACGGGGGGUGCAAGCGUUGUCCGGAAUCACUGGGCGUAAAGCGCGCGUAGGCGGUUGUCUAAGUCACUUGUGAAAUCCCGGGGCUCAACUCCGGGGCUGCAGGUGAGACUGGGCAGCUGGAGCUCGGUAGAGGCGAGUGGAAUUCCCGGUGUAGCGGUGGAAUGCGUAGAUAUCGGGAAGAACACCAGUGGCGAAGGCGACUCGCUGGGCCGAUGCUGACGCUGAGGCGCGAAAGCGUGGGGAGCAAACAGGAUUAGAUACCCUGGUAGUCCACGCCGUAAACGAUGGGUACUAGGCGUCGGGGGGAGCGACCCCUUCGGUGCCGCAGC
RNAcentral lists this ribosomal RNA (599 nucleotides) under uncultured bacterium. RNAcentral describes it as "bacterial SSU rRNA". It matches the Rfam family "Bacterial small subunit ribosomal RNA", at positions 263 to 852 of the family's 1533-position model. The record is from RNAcentral.